Molecule: long non-coding RNA, 257 nt
Filed under: Mytilus galloprovincialis (Mediterranean mussel)
Lineage: Eukaryota; Metazoa; Mollusca; Bivalvia; Mytilida; Mytilidae
Source: RNAcentral
UAUAUCUUUAUUUCCAAAAGAUUAUUUUGACAGGUUGCACUCCCAUUAGUACGUUGUGAUAUAAUUUCAACUAGGCAUUAAUAUUAUGAGUUCAUUCUGCAAUGUGUAUAAAUUUUCAUAUCAAACGUAAAUUAUGUCAUCUGUUUCUUACCAAUUAAUCAUACUGCUGAACUAAAUAAUAUUGUAUUACAUGACCUUGCUUCGCAUUGAAAUAGUUUAAUAUUUACAAUUUAUUUCUUCUGCUGUUUUUAUACUUG